UCUAAGGAAAAAAGUCCUGUGACCCCCCGGUCACAGGCAACGGAAACCGAUACAGUCAAAACUUUGUUCAGUUUUGAGAGGCCUGCCUCUCAAGAUUUUGUUUGUUCUUUGAAAACUGGAUAUCAUGAAGUGAAGGCCAGCUCGUCAGAGCUGACCACACCGAGAAACACCACUGUGAUUUUUUUGAGUUCAGGCGGACUAAGUCCGCCGAAUCAAGCGCUGUUUACAGCGUUUCACUUAGGU
This 243-nucleotide unclassified non-coding RNA is filed under the name Schleiferilactobacillus perolens. RNAcentral describes it as "Lactobacillus perolens 16S-23S ribosomal RNA integenic spacer". The record is from RNAcentral. Lineage: Bacteria; Bacillati; Bacillota; Bacilli; Lactobacillales; Lactobacillaceae.